UGCUUGUAUGUGUCUCAAUUAUGUAUAAUUUCAGACAAAAUACUGUACUACUACAAUCAGUUACACAAUUCUGUCCAAGAACCUGUUGAUGUUGCUACCAUCGACCUUCAAACACAAACAUAGUCAAAUAUUUUAUCAUUUUAUUCACACAUAACAAUGUGUAAAUGACAUGGAUGUAUUUCAUAAUAACAGAGGUACCAGAGUAUCACCAUGUAUGAGCUUUAACAAAACAAUAUUCCAUUGUUUGCCAGGUUUGGUAAAUACUGAAUAUAAAAAUAAAACCUUUAAAUAUAAUUGUUCAGGCCUUGCACAAAGUUGUGCUCUGAAAAUAUUCACAUCUUUUUAACAUUAAUAAUAUGUAAAGUUGCAUUUAACCAGCAGCAGUAGCAUUACUUCAGUUUUAUUGCCAGAAAAACUAGUAUGUUAGAGUGAUAGAAAAAACACUCUGGUAGCCCAUGGUGUGUAAAACAGAAAGUUUAUGAAAAAAAAA
Sphaeramia orbicularis (orbiculate cardinalfish) is the source of this 490-nucleotide long non-coding RNA. RefSeq lists it as uncharacterized. The record is from RefSeq and is a predicted model, not a curated record. The transcript has 3 exons. Lineage: Eukaryota; Metazoa; Chordata; Actinopteri; Kurtiformes; Apogonidae.